Molecule: ribosomal RNA, 1116 nt
Filed under: Rhodotorula mucilaginosa
Lineage: Eukaryota; Fungi; Basidiomycota; Microbotryomycetes; Sporidiobolales; Sporidiobolaceae
Description: eukaryotic LSU rRNA
Rfam family: Eukaryotic large subunit ribosomal RNA (bases 526-1116)
Source: RNAcentral
AUAUAGGACGUCCAACUUAACUUGGAGUCCGAACUCUCACUUUCUAACCCUGUGCACUUGUUUGGGAUAGUAACUCUCGCAAGAGAGCGAACUCCUAUUCACUUAUAAACACAAAGUCUAUGAAUGUAUUAAAUUUUAUAACAAAAUAAAACUUUCAACAACGGAUCUCUUGGCUCUCGCAUCGAUGAAGAACGCAGCGAAAUGCGAUAAGUAAUGUGAAUUGCAGAAUUCAGUGAAUCAUCGAAUCUUUGAACGCACCUUGCGCUCCAUGGUAUUCCGUGGAGCAUGCCUGUUUGAGUGUCAUGAAUACUUCAACCCUCCUCUUUCUUAAUGAUUGAAGAGGUGUUUGGUUUCUGAGCGCUGCUGGCCUUUACGGUCUAGCUCGUUCGUAAUGCAUUAGCAUCCGCAAUCGAACUUCGGAUUGACUUGGCGUAAUAGACUAUUCGCUGAGGAAUUCUAGUCUUCGGAUUAGAGCCGGGUUGGGUUAAAGGAAGCUUCUAAUCAGAAUGUCUACAUUUUAAGAUUAGAUCUCAAAUCAGGUAGGACUACCCGCUGAACUUAAGCAUAUCAAUAAGCGGAGGAAAAGAAACUAACAAGGAUUCCCCUAGUAGCGGCGAGCGAAGCGGGAAGAGCUCAAAUUUAUAAUCUGGCACCUUCGGUGUCCGAGUUGUAAUCUCUAGAAAUGUUUUCCGCGUUGGACCGCACACAAGUCUGUUGGAAUACAGCGGCAUAGUGGUGAGACCCCCGUAUAUGGUGCGGACGCCCAGCGCUUUGUGAUACAUUUUCGAAGAGUCGAGUUGUUUGGGAAUGCAGCUCAAAUUGGGUGGUAAAUUCCAUCUAAAGCUAAAUAUUGGCGAGAGACCGAUAGCGAACAAGUACCGUGAGGGAAAGAUGAAAAGCACUUUGGAAAGAGAGUUAACAGUACGUGAAAUUGUUGGAAGGGAAACGCUUGAAGUCAGACUUGCUUGCCGAGCAAUCGGUUUGCAGGCCAGCAUCAGUUUUCCGGGAUGGAUAAUGGUAGAGAGAAGGUAGCAGUUUCGGCUGUGUUAUAGCUCUCUGCUGGAUACAUCUUGGGGGACUGAGGAACGCAGUGUGCCUUUGGCGGGGGUUUCGACC